Non-coding RNA from Budorcas taxicolor (takin), 73 nucleotides. The record is from the annotation of a RefSeq genome assembly. NCBI's taxonomy places the organism in Eukaryota, Metazoa, Chordata, Mammalia, Artiodactyla, Bovidae.
UCCUUGGUGGUCCAAUGGUUAAGGCUCUGCACUUCCACUGCAGAGGGCUCAGGUUCGACUCCUGGUCAGGAAA